UCUUCCGCAAUGGACGAAAGUCUGACGGAGCAACGCCGCGUGAGUGAUGAAGGUUUUCGGAUCGUAAAACUCUGUUGUUAGGGAAGAACAAGUACCGUUCGAAUAGGGCGGUACCUUGACGGUACCUCACCAGAAAGCCACGGCUAACUACGUGCCAGCAGCCGCGGUAAUACGUAGGUGGCAAGCGUUGUCCGGAAUUAUUGGGCGUAAAGCGCGCGCGGGCGGUUGCUGAAGUCGGAUGUGAAAGCCCCCGGCUAAACCGGGGAGGGUCAUUGGAAACUGGGGAACGUGAGUGCAGAAGAGGAGAGUGGAAUUCAACGUGUAGCGGUGAAAUGCGUAGAGAUGUGGAGGAACACCAGUGGCGAAGGCGACUCUCUGGUCGGUAACUGACGCUGAGGCGCGAAAGCGUGGGGAGCGAACAG
Molecule: ribosomal RNA, 422 nt
Filed under: uncultured bacterium
Lineage: Bacteria
Description: bacterial SSU rRNA
Rfam family: Bacterial small subunit ribosomal RNA
Source: RNAcentral